AGAUUGAACGCUGGCGGCGUGCCUAACACAUGCAAGUCGAGCGGUAACAGGUGUAGCAAUACAUGCUGACGAGCGGCGGACGGGUGAGUAACGCUUGGGAAUCUGCCUAUCAGUGGGGAACAACCCGGGGAAACUCGGGCUAAUACCGCAUACGAUCCAUGGAUGAAAGCCGGGGACCGCAAGGCCUGGCGCUGAUAGAUGAGCCCAAGUCGGAUUAGCUAGUUGGUAGGGUAACGGCCUACCAAGGCGUACGAUCCGUAACUGGUCUGAGAGGACGACCAGUCACACCGGAACUGAGACACGGUCCGGACUCCUACGGGAGGCAGCAGUGGGAAUAUUGGACAAUGGGGGCAACCUGAUCCAGCGACGCCGCGUGGUGAAGAAGGCCCUGACGGGUUGUAAAGGCCCUUUACGGUGGGAAGAAAAAGGUUUCGGACGUUUAAUACGUCGUGAGACCUUUGGACGUAACCCAUAAACGAAGCCGAACCGGACGUAAC
This 497-nucleotide ribosomal RNA is filed under the name uncultured soil bacterium. Its description in RNAcentral is "bacterial SSU rRNA". It matches the Rfam family "Bacterial small subunit ribosomal RNA", at positions 26 to 478 of the family's 1533-position model. The record is from RNAcentral.